UACGUAGGGUCCAAGCGUUGUCCGGAUUUAUUGGGCGUAAAGAGCUCGUAGGCGGUUCGGUAAGUCGGAUGUGAAAACUCAGGGCUCAACCCGGAGACGCCAUCCGAUACUGCUGUGACUUGAGUCUGGUAGGGGAACACGGAAUACCUGGUGUAGCGGUGAAAUGCGCAGAUAUCAGGAGGAACACCGGUGGCGAAGGCGGUUCUCUGGGACGGUACUGACGCUGAGACGCGAAAGCGUGGGGAGCGAACAGG
This 254-nucleotide ribosomal RNA is filed under the name uncultured bacterium. Its description in RNAcentral is "partial 16S ribosomal RNA". It matches the Rfam family "Bacterial small subunit ribosomal RNA", at positions 524 to 776 of the family's 1533-position model. The record is from RNAcentral.